AUUGAACGCUGGCGGCAGGCUUAACACAUGCAAGUCGAGCGGGGUGAUGGUGCUUGCACUAUCACUUAGCGGCGGACGGGUGAGUAAUGCUUAGGAAUCUGCCUAUUAGUGGGGGACGACAUCUCGAAAGGGAUGCUAAUACCGCAUACGUCCUACGGGAGAAAGCAGGGGAUCACUUGUGACCUUGCGCUAAUAGAUGAGCCUAAGUCGGAUUAGCUAGUUGGUGGGGUAAAGGCCUAACAAGGCGACGAUCUGGAGCGGGUCUGAGAGGAUGAUCCGCCACACUGGGACUGAGGCACGGCCCAGACUCCUACGGGAGGCAGCAGUGGGGAAUAUUGGACAAUGGGGGAAACCCUGAUCCAGCCAUGCCGCGUGUGUGAAGAAGGCCUUAUGGUUGUAAAGCACUUUAAGCGAGGAGGAGGCUCUUUUGGUUAAUACCCAAGAUGAGUGGACGUUACUCGCAGAAUAAGCACCGGCUAACUCUGUGCCAGCCGCCGCCGUAA
This 503-nucleotide ribosomal RNA is filed under the name uncultured bacterium. RNAcentral describes it as "partial 16S ribosomal RNA". It matches the Rfam family "Bacterial small subunit ribosomal RNA", at positions 30 to 523 of the family's 1533-position model. The record is from RNAcentral.